Molecule: long non-coding RNA, 1288 nt
Filed under: Equus asinus (donkey)
Lineage: Eukaryota; Metazoa; Chordata; Mammalia; Perissodactyla; Equidae
Description: lncRNA (ENSEASG00005028026.1)
Source: RNAcentral
GCCCAGGGCCAAGGAGAGCCGCUCAGGCCUCCCAGCACAUGGGGGCUGACAAGACGCCGAGUGGGGAGCAAGUCAGAGCACCGCGGUUUCCUCGUGCUCUGUGAAAGGAUUUUUGCGUUUCUUCACCAAAGAAGGGACUGUAUUUGGAGGUUUAGACACUGAAUUACAACUCACAGUUGAGAAGUCACUGCACGCCACUGUGCAGUGAAGGGGCAGCCCUGGAACCUGAAAACAGCCUUAAUUCCCAUCAGGAAAUGAGAUCUGAGACUAUACCGCGUUCCUGUGGGGAGCUGCCCUUCCCCCACGUGCAAUUCCGGAGGCUGCUGAUCACAGAACCCGCAUCCUCCCCUCGAGCCCAGCAGGGCCACUCAAAGCCACGCCCAGGACCUGAGAGGCAGACGCUGCACAGGAGUGUCCCUCUCUGAAGAGUAAACACCUGUUGCUUAAGCAGUCGGAGCUGGGUGUGUGUCGACUCUCCUGCCUACUCCCCAAGUCUGCCUGGUCCAGGGUUUGCCGGCUCAGGUGGACUUGGCACUGUGCCCAGCACCCUGGGUCCAGGGCGGUUUCUGGAUGGCGCCAGGCUGGGCUCAGGCACUGACCACAUGGCUCGAGGAAGACCUGACACUUCAAGGAGCAGCAAGGCCCCAAGAUCCCCAGAUGGCAUCUCUCGUCCAUGCUCCUCCCGCCUCACCAGCAACAUCACCAGCUAUAAAUAGGCCUGGCUCUCAGUCAGCACAGCCUUUCCCCGAGGAAGCUUUUAAUUCUCAGCUUCUGCUGCAGGGAGUGUCCCCACUGCCCACCGGGGAGGGAAAACCACGUGGACGCUGCCCCUGAGGAUAGUUUGGCUGCUCAAAGAUUUCUCUUAAACCUCAAUCAGUGAUGACGAUUUUAAUUUUCUCUAUGAAAUUCUCCUGUGAUUUGCACAUUUCCCACAAUGAGCACUGUAUAUGGUUAAAACAGUAUUUAUUGCAACUUCAAAGGAUUCAGGAAGAUCAGCCAAAAGACGCCGGGGAGAUAGGAAUACGCGAGUGCAGCUUCCUCUAAUCUCCAGCACUGGCAGUCCGAUGGCUGGGAGAGGCUUUUUAAUGUAGCAUUUAAACUAUGGUGCCUUUCUGAACGACAGGUCCCUUUGGGGACCUUGAGAGCCACAGACCCUUUCCCCAGGAGAAGGCACACACCCUCACAUGGCACGCAUUUGCAGAUGGUCCCAGGAAGUUCACAAGCACCACCUCCACAACCCCCAUCCCCAAGCCCUGCGAUGCCGACCCUGUGAUGGGAACAGGGGCUG